Perca flavescens (yellow perch) is the source of this 1494-nucleotide long non-coding RNA. RefSeq lists it as uncharacterized. The record is from RefSeq and is a predicted model, not a curated record. NCBI's taxonomy places the organism in Eukaryota, Metazoa, Chordata, Actinopteri, Perciformes, Percidae. The transcript is spliced from 2 exons.
CCCUUCAUUUUCCCAAGGGAGUCAAGUGAGGAGCUUAACCCACAGACCGUGAUCCAGAACAUUACCUGGCCACAACCUAACUUUGACAGCGACGAGGAUGAGGACGACACUGUUCCAUUGGAGAAAAUCAGUCUUGUCACUGGAUUUUUGAGAAAAUUCAUAGAGGAAAUGGUCUUUAUUUCCUUAUUUUUCAUUCUCCUCUUAAUUCACACAAUUGUUUCCUCAUAACAAUCCCAGUUGCUACAAUAAUAAAGUGGUUCUUCAUAUUUACCACGUUUUAUGUACAUUUGUGUUUCAUUUUAUCUCCGUGUGAGCUAGUUUACUGUUUUAUUGUCAAAUGGUCAUGUUUCUGUCCCUCCUCCUUUGUCUGCUGUGUGCUUUACAACAGCACAGGGAUAGAAGAUGUGAAUGUUUGACAGAAACAGUAAAGCCCAGCUCACACUGAGAUGAAAAGAAACAAAUGCACAUAAAAUUGGUAAAUUAAACGUCAUACUUUGUUUACAUUCCACAGUAUUUACAGCAGCAUUUAAAGUAAUCCUUAUGAUGUUCUAAACUAGGAGAGGAAGAGACUACAAGGAUUUUACUUUUGUAAAGUAAGUUCAGCACUGAUAUUUGGAAGUGUACAAUUUUCUCUUCCAUAGCGCCACCAGAUGUGCUGCGUCACCUGAUGAAGUUUUGGGUGGGGUGGGAACUGCCAACAACAAAACUCAAUGUUGAGGUUCUAACCUCAACUUAUCCAGUGGCUCUCACCUGCUUCUUCAAGUUGAAGCUCCCCAGCCACUACCAGACCUACAAGAUUUUUCACCAGGACUUGAUGAUGGCCCUCAGUUCCAUAAGUUCUGGCUUUGGACUUGUGUAGGUAUAAAUGUCAUCAACUUCUUGCACUCAGUCACUCUUUUGAAAUGGAGUCACUUAAAAGGGCAAUUCCUGCUAAUUUAUGCACCAUUAACGUUAUAAAGUUUGACUAUUCUACUUCUCAGGCACCACCUUCACCUGUCAAAUACUUUUGAGUUGGUUUGGUGAUUGGCUUUAGCCUGUGUUUUUUUUUUCUAAAGUUCUUUUUAGUGAUUUUCAUGUUCUUAAUCUAGGUGCUAGUGUUCUUUUGUGAUGUCCUCUGCAGUGCAAUGAGCUUGGAUCAUAUAAAGAUCAUCUCUUUGAGAGCUGUGGCAGCUUUUUGGCCUCUCUAGUUCAUUAAGCUCAGACUUCCAUAUACAUUUAGUUGUAAUUAUUGAACAGUUUAUACAGCUAGUACAUGUUUAAUACAUUCAGAUGUUGAGGUAGAUACCAGUUUCUCCAAUAUUACUGUUGCCCUUUUACAGUAAUGUUCUAAAUGACCGUGUGUACACCUAACACUGUUGGUUUUGUAAAGCAAAUUUGUCUAAAUUUGUUAUCCCUUUACAGUGAUGUGUUGUAAAUACAACUGUACUGCUACAUUUGAUAAAUUUACACAAGAAUUUUAUGUUCCCUUGAACAACAUUAAAGGUGUUAAACAAG